RNAcentral lists this ribosomal RNA (1476 nucleotides) under uncultured bacterium. Its description in RNAcentral is "partial 16S ribosomal RNA". It matches the Rfam family "Bacterial small subunit ribosomal RNA". The record is from RNAcentral.
AACGCUGGCGGCGUGCCUAAUACAUGCAAGUCGAGCGGACAGAAGGGAGCUUGCUCCCGGAUGUUAGCGGCGGACGGGUGAGUAACACGUGGGUAACCUGCCUGUAAGACUGGGAUAACUCCGGGAAACCGGAGCUAAUACCGGAUAGUUCCUUGAACCGCAUGGUUCAAGGAUGAAAGACGGUUUCGGCUGUCACUUACAGAUGGACCCGCGGCGCAUUAGCUAGUUGGUGAGGUAACGGCUCACCAAGGCGACGAUGCGUAGCCGACCUGAGAGGGUGAUCGGCCACACUGGGACUGAGACACGGCCCAGACUCCUACGGGAGGCAGCAGUAGGGAAUCUUCCGCAAUGGACGAAAGUCUGACGGAGCAACGCCGCGUGAGUGAUGAAGGUUUUCGGAUCGUAAAGCUCUGUUGUUAGGGAAGAACAAGUGCAAGAGUAACUGCUUGCACCUUGACGGUACCUAACCAGAAAGCCACGGCUAACUACGUGCCAGCAGCCGCGGUAAUACGUAGGUGGCAAGCGUUGUCCGGAAUUAUUGGGCGUAAAGGGCUCGCAGGCGGUUUCUUAAGUCUGAUGUGAAAGCCCCCGGCUCAACCGGGGAGGGUCAUUGGAAACUGGGAAACUUGAGUGCAGAAGAGGAGAGUGGAAUUCCACGUGUAGCGGUGAAAUGCGUAGAGAUGUGGAGGAACACCAGUGGCGAAGGCGACUCUCUGGUCUGUAACUGACGCUGAGGAGCGAAAGCGUGGGGAGCGAACAGGAUUAGAUACCCUGGUAGUCCACGCCGUAAACGAUGAGUGCUAAGUGUUAGGGGGUUUCCGCCCCUUAGUGCUGCAGCUAACGCAUUAAGCACUCCGCCUGGGGAGUACGGUCGCAAGACUGAAACUCAAAGGAAUUGACGGGGGCCCGCACAAGCGGUGGAGCAUGUGGUUUAAUUCGAUGAUACGCGAGGAACCUUACCAGGGCUUAAAUGGGAGAUGACAGGGGCAGAGACGCCCUUUUCUUCGGACAUCUUUCAAGGUGCUGCAUGGUUGUCGUCAGCUCGUGCCGUGAGGUGUCAGGUUAAGUCCUAUAACGAGCGCAACCCCUACCGUUAGUUGCCAGCGAUUCAAGUCGGGGACUCUAACGGGACUGCCGGUGCAAACCGUGAGGAAGGUGGGGACGACGUCAAAUCAUCACGGCCCUUACGUCCUGGGCUACACACGUGCUACAAUGGUCGGUACAGAGGGAAGCUACCCCGCAAGGGGAUGCGGAUCUAUAAAACCGAUCUCAGUUCGGAUCGGGGUCUGCAACUCGACCCCGUGAAGCUGGAAUCGCUAGUAAUCGGAUAUCAGCCAUGAUCCGGUGAAUACGUUCUCGGGCCUUGUACACACCGCCCGUCACACCAUGGGAGUUGGCGGCACCAGAAGUAGGUAGCUUAACCUUCGGGAGGGCGCUUACCACGGUGCGGUUAAUGACUGGGGUGAAGUCGUAACA